UACGUAGGACACGAGCGUUAUCCGGAUUUACUGGGCGUAAAGCGCCUGUAGGCGGUUUUGUAAGUCGGAUGUGAAAGCCCCAGGCUUAACCUGGGGAGGCCAUUCGAUACUGCGGGACUUGAGGAUAGCAGAGGGGAGUGGAAUUCCCGGUGUAGCGGUAAAAUGCGCAGAUAUCGGGAGGAACACCAGUGGCGAAGGCGGCUCCCUGGGCUACUCCUGACGCUGAGAGGCGAAAGCUAGGGGAGCGAACAGG
This 253-nucleotide ribosomal RNA is filed under the name uncultured prokaryote. RNAcentral's name for it is "partial 16S ribosomal RNA". It matches the Rfam family "Bacterial small subunit ribosomal RNA", at positions 524 to 776 of the family's 1533-position model. The record is from RNAcentral.